Molecule: ribosomal RNA, 364 nt
Filed under: uncultured bacterium
Lineage: Bacteria
Description: bacterial SSU rRNA
Rfam family: Bacterial small subunit ribosomal RNA
Source: RNAcentral
AACGAACGCUGGCGGCAGGCUUAACACAUGCAAGUCGAACGAGUGUAGCAAUACACUAGUGGCGCACGGGUGCGUAACGCGUGGGAACCUUCCUCGUAGUUCGGAAUAACUCAGGGAAACUUGGGCUAAUACCGAAUGCCUCCUUCGGGAGAAAGAUUUAUCGCUACGAGAUGGGCCCGCGUCAGAUUAGGUAGUUGGUAGGGUAAUGGCCUACCAAGCCGACGAUCUGUAGCUGGUCNGAGAGGAUGAUCAGCCACACUGGGACUGAGACACGGCCCAGACUCCUACGGGAGGCAGCAGUGGGGAAUAUUGGACAAUGGGGGCAACCCUGAUCCAGCCAUGCCGCGUGAGUGAAGAAGGCCUU